GACGAACGCUGGCGGCGUGCCUAAUACAUGCAAGUAGAACGCUGAAGAGAGGAGCUUGCUCUUCUUGGAUGAGUUGCGAACGGGUGAGUAACGCGUAGGUAACCUGCCUUGUAGCGGGGGAUAACUAUUGGAAACGAUAGCUAAUACCGCAUAACAAUGGAUGACACAUGUCAUUUAUUUGAAAGGGGCAAUUGCUCCACUACAAGAUGGACCUGCGUUGUAUUAGCUAGUAGGUGAGGUAAUGGCUCACCUAGGCGACGAUACAUAGCCGACCUGAGAGGGUGAUCGGCCACACUGGGACUGAGACACGGCCCAGACUCCUACGGGAGGCAGCAGUAGGGAAUCUUCGGCAAUGGGGGCAACCCUGACCGAGCAACGCCGCGUGAGUGAAGAAGGUUUUCGGAUCGUAAAGCUCUGUUGUAAGUCAAGAACGGGUGUGAGAGUGGAAAGUUCACACUGUGACGGUAGCUUACCAGAAAGGGACGGCUAACUACGUGCCAGCAGCCGCGGUAAUACGUAGGUCCCGAGCGUUGUCCGGAUUUAUUGGGCGUAAAGCGAGCGCACGCGGUUUGAUAAGUCUGAAGUUAAGGCUGUGGCUCAACCAUAGUUCGCUUUGGAAACUGUCAAACUUGAGUGCAGAAGGGGAGAGUGGAAUUCCAUGUGUAGCGGUGAAAUGCGUAGAUAUAUGGAGGAACACCGGUGGCGAAAGCGGCUCUCUGGUCUGUAACUGACGCUGAGGCUCGAAAGCGUGGGGAGCGAACAGGAUUAGAUACCCUGGUAGUCCACGCCGUAAACGAUGAGUGCUAGGUGUUGGAUCCUUUCCGGGAUUCAGUGCCGCAGCUAACGCAUUAAGCACUCCGCCUGGGGAGUACGACCGCAAGGUUGAAACUCAAAGGAAUUGACGGGGGCCCGCACAAGCGGUGGAGCAUGUGGUUUAAUUCGAAGCAACGCGAAGAACCUUACCAGGUCUUGACAUCCCGAUGCUAUUUCUAGAGAUAGAAAGUUACUUCGGUACAUCGGUGACAGGUGGUGCAUGGUUGUCGUCAGCUCGUGUCGUGAGAUGUUGGGUUAAGUCCCGCAACGAGCGCAACCCCUAUUGUUAGUUGCCAUCAUUCAGUUGGGCACUCUAGCGAGACUGCCGGUAAUAAACCGGAGGAAGGUGGGGAUGACGUCAAAUCAUCAUGCCCCUUAUGACCUGGGCUACACACGUGCUACAAUGGUUGGUACAACGAGUUGCGAGUCGGUGACGGCGAGCUAAUCUCUUAAAGCCAAUCUCAGUUCGGAUUGUAGGCUGCAACUCGCCUACAUGAAGUCGGAAUCGCUAGUAAUCGCGGAUCAGCACGCCGCGGUGAAUACGUUCCCGGGCCU
RNAcentral lists this ribosomal RNA (1368 nucleotides) under uncultured bacterium. RNAcentral describes it as "bacterial SSU rRNA". It matches the Rfam family "Bacterial small subunit ribosomal RNA", at positions 28 to 1381 of the family's 1533-position model. The record is from RNAcentral.